Electrophorus electricus (electric eel) is the source of this 2695-nucleotide long non-coding RNA. The record is from Ensembl. Lineage: Eukaryota; Metazoa; Chordata; Actinopteri; Gymnotiformes; Gymnotidae.
UUUUUGUGUGCUGACUGCUUUAUCAGUUUGAAGUCUGUUAUUUUAAGGAUCAAGCCAUGUCUGCACUGUAUUAAUACAGCUGUAGCACAUCUCUCAUGCUUCCCUCAAAUGUUGAAUGUUAAUGAGGUAGUUCUGUUUAUCUUCACUGCACCAUCCUUCUUUGUCCCCUCCUCCUUAGGCUCAAACAUGGACAAGAAAAAUGUCAGUCUCCAGAAAGCAGUCCACAGAGAUAGCAAACCCAACUCUUCAGGCAGACACAGAGAAAGGAAGAACUACUCUGCAGAUGAGCUGGCCUUCCUCACAGAUGGGGUGAGACGUUUUGGUCACUCCUGGAAUUCCAUACUUUGGGCUUAUCCAUUCCAGCAAGGACGCACUAAUGUAGACUUGGCAAAAAAAUACAAAAAACUAAAACUGGGCUUACCUCAGACACCAGACCUUACAACACUGGAUUCUGCUGACCCAAAAGUUUGUUAAACUGGCAUUCUGCACAAUGUUUUACACAUUAACACCCAAGUCAGCCAUCAGACCAUUGUAGAAGUCUGUCACUCUAAGUUUAAAUCUUGAACAUGUAUGCAAGUUUCUUUAUUACUUGUUUUGUUGAACUUUGUUUGAAUUAAAGUUCUUUCCAAAUUUCUUUUUAUGUUUGGGGUGGGUGUUGGGCAGUGGUCAAUAUCUCAUUGCUUCAGUCCUUACUCUUUCUUCUAAACUUUACUGGCCAUUGUGAGAAUCUCACCUAAUAGUCAUAUUCUUUACUAGAUAUAGAGGAAUGAGCGAUUUAUAUGGGACAGAGGCUUCUAAGGCUAUGUCCUAGAGUUUGUACCCCAAAACUGAAUUUCCCUUGUGACUUCUGAAAACCUUUUUUCUCUGGAAGGAAUGUGGCCCUUCCCCCUACAUGUAUAUGAGAAUGUGUGUGUUGAGUUAAAAGAAAUCCAAGUACAGUAGCAGGAAACCUCAUUACUGCAUAUUCUGAAGUUCUGCAGAGCUUUCUUUGUGUACUGGAACAAUUCACAUACUUUCCUAUAUGUUUAAUUUUUGACAUUGUUUCACUUGAUUCCUAAAAUCAACCCCGCUGUAUUGUCUGGCUAAUUUAAAACUUUGUACAGGCUGAUGAUUUGCACUACUUGGAUAAAUAACCUAUUCCAGCUACACCAGCAAAUUGCCAGACAAAAAUAGAUAAGCCCUUUGUAAUUGUAAAGAGUCAACCAGGUUAGAGAUUAGACAUUAAGGUCUGUAACAGUUUAAUUUUAUUUUCUCACUUGCAAUCAUUGUUUUAACAUGUUCUUAUUGCAUUUCUGUGAUGGUACUUUAUUCAUACAGAGUAAAUAAAAAGGUUAUUUUACUCAUUUAACAUUUUAAACCUGUUUUUUUUUUCCUUACAUGACUACAAGAAAAAUAAUGCUGGGUAGUGGCUUGUGUUUAUGCUGGAACUGGUGUUUAGAUGUAGAGUUCAACCAUUUCAUGCCUACAAGCUCACAAUUUGUCAGUGGUUAUACAGGAUAUUUUAAAACUUCAAUAAAAAGGAUUGAUUUAGGCAUGCUUCGCCAUUAUCUUGGCUGUUGUCAUGGUCUGACUCCUUGCACCUAUUGUCCCUUUAGCAGUUGAUUCUUUUAGCAUGUCCAUGGGUUUAUAUAAGGUCAUUGAUCGUGUUGACAGCUGUGCUCACCCCCUGUCCCAUGUCCCCCAGAUCAACCAAAGGUCAAAGUUUAGAGUUGAGGGAUCAACACUAACUUCAUAGUUUCAGAGGUUUCUGCUGGUGGUUCUGCAUCCUGGUUCAUGCAUGCCAACAAUUCCUUGCGCUCAGGGCGUGCACGAAUAUCAAAUUGACUGGGAAUUUCCUCCCUCUCCACCGCUAAAAGGUGCAACAUCAUCAGCUAUUGCUGCAGCAACAGGGCUCAGUGGAGGAGUGCUUCUGAGAUGGUUUGUGCGACGGCAGGUCAGAUGGUAAGUAGGCAAGGCCUUCAGGAGCUUUAGGAGUGGAGAAAAUCAUUUUGGGUUUAGUCUCCUCUGAAAGAUCUACCAGGGUCUCAGGCUUGGGCUCUGGAUCUGGGACCUCAUCCUUCAAGCCAACAGCUGCCAUCAUGGCCUCCACAGCUCCUAUGCUCUUGUUUAGAAUUCUUCAACUGGCCAGCAAUCUGUUGGCUAAUGGCACUCACAGUUUCCUCUGCAGUUUGUGUGAUAACAUCUAGAGCCCCAGGGAUAGGUUUGCUGUCAGCUGCUAUUGGUGGGACACUUCUUGGGCUUGGCUUCAAGUGUGGCCUCAGCUCCACUGCAGAUUCUGCUCACUGCUCUGAGGAACAGAUAAAGCUUCAGGUGUGGCAGGCUGAUCCUGGGAUGGAGCCUCCACCACAGCUCCCUCUAUUGCAGCCCCCUCGCUCUUCCUCCGACUCAACUUUGCUCCCAUUCUUCUCACUAUGAAACAUGCAGGACAUCAAUCAAGCCACAGACUAUUUAGAUAACUUCAUCUUACAUUUAGAGGAGUUGUUUCUUAUCAUGCAAUAGUGCAAAAUAGACCCAUAGCCCAGUGUUGGGAACAUGUACAGUAAUAUGCUAACUCAGUACAUGGUCUGCGAACACAGUGAAACUUUUGUAACCAGGAAUAAAGCACAUAGAUGUACUCUGAUAAUGGCAGAAUAGUAACCUAAAACCAGACAUCAGACUGUGGGACACGCAUUGCCAAAGUGGUCGACCACAACAU